RNAcentral lists this long non-coding RNA (1373 nucleotides) under Durio zibethinus. Its description in RNAcentral is "long non-coding RNA (DZIB_LNC001843)". Lineage: Eukaryota; Viridiplantae; Streptophyta; Magnoliopsida; Malvales; Malvaceae. The record is from RNAcentral.
CUUUUGGAAAUACUUGGGCAUCAAGACAUUGGCAAAGGAAAGGAUCCUUAAAAAUUUUGAAAUUUUUUUCCAGAUUUGGUUUAAAUCAGAAUCUUUCCAAAUUGAAAGGAAUUUGAUCGCUAUAUAAAAAACCUAAUUCAACAAUCACCUGCACCAAUAAGCAAUUAGAGGAGAAUCAAAGAAAGCAAACAAUUUCAUCAAAUCAGAGCAACGAAGAAGCAAUUCAGCAGCAGGCAUUCAAGUAAUUCAAUGGCAACAAACGCUAAAAAGAUAAGAAAUACAACAACAAAUUUCUAAAAGCAAUUCAUCAGUAAUCAACAGUAGUCCAGCAAUAGGGUCGAUAGCAAUUUUUAACAGUAAUCAAGAAACUGUUAAGCAAGAACAGAAUAUAGCAAUCCCUAGUAAAAAUCAAGGUUAUAUACACAAUUCUCGGCAAUUAGAAGAAUUCUCAGCCAAGAGCAAAGAAUCAGCUAACAAAGCCACAACAGAGCAUAAAUCAGAAAGCAUACAAAUAGCUCAAUUCCCAGAGACCCAACCCAGAAAUCGAACAGCUAUUACGCAGCAAUACACGCAGAAACAAACCCGAAUCUAGAAAACUAGGAUUAACUAUCAAGCAAACCCAUCAGAAGAACCUUGCACCCAACUAACCCACAAACCCCAAUCCACAAAAAAAAUCCAAAAUCAAUCCACCUACAUCAACACAUCAUCAAUAUCAAAUAGAGGUAGGACGCAUAAGUGAGAGAUCAAUCAAGCACACAAUAGAAUGAUUUUUUUUCUUUGGCAGUAGGCUAUUUAAGAUUUUGGGGUUGGGGUUUGUUUUUUAAACAGUAUUCUCUCAGAUCUUUAGGGUAGAGAGAAUGGAAGUUUAUUGGUUAUUUCGACAGUGAUCGAAGUUGUAUUCAGACAACGGCAAAGGUAGUGGGUUAUGUCCAAUUUCUGGGUUAUUGAAUUUUGUUGUUUUGGUGUUGUUCUUGAAAGUUUGAAGGUGGUUGAGAAGUUUAAACAGAAGAGGUGGUAGCUAUUUUUGGUUGAGGCUUCGGGAAGAAAGGUAAGGGAGGAAGAAGGUCAGCAAAAGGAAUAAGAGAAAGGGGCGAAUCUACAAAGGUUUUGGGUUUUGCAACACCGGCACUAGCCAAAAGUGGCGAGACCGACGAUGAAAUUAACGGUGGGACAAGCAGAUUUUUGGGUAGUUGCUCUUCAAGUAGGGAAAAGAAGUACGAUGUUUAGACUUCAGAGAGAGGACGAACAAGAACGAGAAAGCAGAUAGGGAAAAUGAAAAGCGAAUGAAGAUGGUUAAAACGGCAGCAUUUAAACUUAGCCAAAAAAAAAAAAGGAUCUGUUUGCAAUUAAACCCGACUUGACCCGUUCCUUUG